AUUGAAAUAGCUUAAAUAGAGUGCUAUAUUGAAGCUAUAGAGGUGGUUUAUCUUUUAAUA
Molecule: transfer RNA, 60 nt
Filed under: Onisimus nanseni
Lineage: Eukaryota; Metazoa; Arthropoda; Malacostraca; Amphipoda; Lysianassidae
Description: tRNA-Phe
Source: RNAcentral